RNAcentral lists this unclassified non-coding RNA (433 nucleotides) under soil metagenome. RNAcentral's name for it is "partial contains 5.8S ribosomal RNA, internal transcribed spacer 2, and large subunit ribosomal RNA". The stretch from base 1 to 120 matches the Rfam family "5.8S ribosomal RNA", at positions 35 to 154 of the family's 154-position model. The record is from RNAcentral.
GAUGAAGAACGUAGCGAAAUGCGAUACGUAAUGUGAAUUGCAGAAUUCAGUGAAUCAUCGAAUCUUUGAACGCAUAUUGCGCUCUCUGGUAUUCCGGAGAGCAUGCUUGUUUGAGUAUCAGUAAACACCUCAACUCCCUUUUCUUUUUUGAAAUGGGAGCUGGACUUGAGUGAUCCCAACACUUUUCUCACUGGAAAGUGGCGGGUCACUUGAAAUGCAGGUGCAGCUGGACUUUUCUCUGAGCUAUAAGCAUAUCUAUUUAGUCAGCCUAAAAAACAGAUUAUUACCUUUGCUGCAGCUAACAUAAAGGAGAUGAGUUCUUGUGCUGACUGAUGCAGGAUUCACAGAGACAGCUUUGCGGCUGACUUUGUAAACUCGAUCUCAAAUCAAGUAAGACUACCCGCUGAACUUAAGCAUAUCAAUAAGCGGAGGA